UGUUUCAAGUUUUAUUAUUCAAUUUAAAAUAUUUGUUAUUUAUGAAUGAGAUAAAUGUUGAGAAUAUUUUAGAGGUUUUUAUAUAUUUCUUUGUAAUUCCAUAUAAAAGAGCAAAAUAGACUUAGGAAAUUGAAUGACAUCAUUCUUAAUCUGUGGUGUAGACUGUUUAUAAUCAUUGUUUUUAAAAACGCUUUCAGAUAUCUUCAAUCUUCAUUCUUGAAAUCCUGAGACCGUGUCAAAUUAGAAUAGUUUUUUCAAAACGAAUGUAUCGAACGCUGAGUUAUUUUUUUGUUAUAAAAAGCUAUGUAUUUUAAACAGUUAAAAUCUAACUAAUGACAAAAAUAUUUUCUGGGAUAACUUUACCUUUCUAAACAACGAAUGAAAAUACUGGGUCACCCUUGAUCAUGAGUAACAACUGCCUUAUACAGAAAACCUUAUUAUAAUUGGUUGUAUCAUUGCCAAUGAAUGAAAAAUCAACUAUAUUAUUGCUAUUAUUUCUGUAUAACAAAGUCCUCGUAAAAGUUUUCUUUAAAAAUGUGUGAAAUUAUACAAGCACUCAGAGACCCACUCAAAGAUAUAGAAAGCGAAUAUGUACAGAAUACAGAAGAUAUUUAUAAAGCUGCUCAACCUACAUUAUCAGACAUGCCAGUUGAGAUAAUUUUAAAAAUAUGUUCUUUCUUGGAUUCACACUUUUUAAAGUAUACAUUUAGUAAGGUCUGUACAAGGUUUGAGGAUAUAUUGGCUGAUGAUCAUCUAUGGAAGUAUUGGGUAAAUAACAAAAUGAAUGGUUGUUUUCCUGCUCUACCCAAUUUGAAAAUAUGGGAUGAAGCACAAAUUGAUUGGGAGGAAGUAUGUGUUGAAAUAGAUUCUGAGAAAAAGAAAUGGACUGAUAUUGAAAAUACAACACAACACCUAAUUGUAAAGGAUGUUCACUAUGCUUCUGUUGAUGCAGUGCUCUUGUUAAAUAAAGGUGAGACAUGUAUAUCUGGUGGAAGAGAUAGAAGUUUGGCAAUGUGGAACAUUCCCGAGAUGAAAUCUAAUGUGGAUAACAAGCCUACAAAAAUGAGACAUGACGCUCAUGCUGGAUGGGUUUGGGAUCUUGCUGCUGACAAUACAGACUGUGCUACAAUUGUAUACUCUGCAUCUUGGGACAAUACUGUCAAAGCAUGGGAUUUAGGUGCUGAAUUUUCUUGUGUAGAAACCUUUAGGUGUGGUAUGACUGCUUUAUCUGUUGUAGCAUGGGAUAAAAUUGUAAUGGCUGGACUAUAUUCAAAUAAAGUGCUGUCUUUUGACUUACGAUCAGGACCAAACCCAAUAAGUUUUUAUAAACCCCAUAAAGGACCAAUUUUAGCUCUAAGUGCACAUAAAAACAUGGUUGCAUCUGUGAGUGAAGACAAGACAUUAGCAAUUUGGGAUAAAGUUGCAGGGAAAAUUAUAAAACACAACAUAAAGAUACCUAAAGAAAAACAGUACCCUGUGUGUGUUAAUUGGAAUUCAUCAGCAAUAUACAUAGGUGAUUCUACAGGUUCACUUCACAUUUUUAAUCCUGAAGAUUUUGCAUAUGUUAGGUCUCAUGAAAUUUGGAAGGAAACUCCAAUUGUUGAACCAUCCCAUAAAAUUGCUGGUUGCUAUCAAAGUAAGGGAAAUAUGAUUCUGUGCUCAGAUCAAGGAGAAAUUAAAUUUUUGUAUAAUUGUUAUCCUCCCCAGGAAUAUAGUAGUAUUAAAACAACUACUGUUGAUGUAACAAAGUUACAAUAUCAAAAUGGUAUUUUAGCAGUUGGGACCUGUGAUAAUGCAUUAGAAUUUUGGAUUCCAAACGAGAAACUAUCAUCAUCAUCAGACAUAUGAAUUUUAUAAUAUAAAUUAUAUUUAUAGUUGUAAUACUAAACUUUGGUUUUAUAGUUGAGAAUCUAACCAGAUUUAACUUUAAUGACUUUUAACUGUUAAUGACUUAAUUUAUGUUAAAUAUUGUUAUUUUAUUAAGAUUGUCAAUUUAGUAUCACAUCAAUUUGAAGAUGUUUAAAACCAAAAUGACCUGAACUUAAAAUCUUAAAAAUGUCUUUAAUCAAAACUUGCAUUUAUUUAUUGAACUAGGCUUUUCAAAUAUUCGUUUGAAUUGGCAGUUUGUAUAUGACUGAAGAUUAUGGUCCUGUGAUUAACAGCAUCAUAAAGUGCACAGAUUCAAUGAAGAAAAACGUAACAUUGUGAUACUAUAUUUUUUAUUUAGUUAUUAAAAUUAAUUUGUUGUAAUUUAAAUAAAUUCUAAAAUUAACAUAUAUCUCGAGGAUGACUUCUUAUGACUGACUACUUUUAUAUUGUUGGAGCUCAAAAUUUACACUGCACAUAGUAUUUUUUUGUAAGAUUAAAUAUUUACUGAGAAGUUAUGAGAAUAAUGUAUUUUUAGUUGUCUUACAAAGCAGGUCUUAUAGAGUUUCACAGUUUACAGCAAGGCAAUAUUUCUCAAAAAGUUAGUGGAUGAUUUAUAUUUAUAAUUAUUUUAGUUGGAGCGCCUUCGUGAAAUGAUUAAGAAAAUAUGGUGUAUACUAUGUUUUCUAAAUUCAAGUGAAAGUUAGACUUUUUUUGAUAGAAUUGUAAAUGAAAGCCCUCCAACAUAAGCAAUUCCUUUUAUUUAAUACUAAAGUUACCUUAUUAUUUAUAAUAGCUAGCUUUUAUCUAACUCACUUCAAUACUUUAAAAUGGUUUUAUUGAACCGGAAACAAUUAAGAAUACUCAUUGUUACAUGCAUAGCUACACUGACGACAGUUUAUAAAAUUAAUUUUGAAUGAUAUAAGCUAUCUAUUUUUGUUCGGUUAAUAGUAAUAUAUUCAACAUGAAAUAAUAACGUGUUUACAUUAAAUAAAGAUGGUAUAAAAAUGGUUAUUAGGUUAAAGAAUUAUUACAAUAUGAUGUUCACACGUUCAAACAAAUUUCAUACCUAUUAAUGCAUUGUGUUUAAUGAUCGUUCUUAUUGUGAAAUCGUUCUUAAUGUCACGAUAGCCAGCAACGUCGGUGGUUUUAAUGCGAAAGCAUAAUGAAAUGUAUUUUCGAACGUACCUAUAGUCUUUUAAUUUAAACAGCUAAGUCAAUUUUAAUCUUUGUCUAAUUUGCCGAGUUGCGCUUGAAGUGGUAUUCUACGGUGGUAUUAUACUAUGAUUGUAACGUUGUACAAUUUGUAUGAAAUAACUUAUUAAAAUCUCGGCUUUCAAAUGCG
RNAcentral lists this unclassified non-coding RNA (3211 nucleotides) under Zerene cesonia (dogface butterfly). RNAcentral describes it as "f-box/WD repeat-containing protein 9-like, transcript variant X1". Lineage: Eukaryota; Metazoa; Arthropoda; Insecta; Lepidoptera; Pieridae. The record is from RNAcentral.